ACGUAGGGUGCGAGCGUUAAUCGGAAUUACUGGGCGUAAAGCGUGCGCAGGCGGUUGUGCAAGACGGAUGUGAAAUCCCCGGGCUUAACCUGGGAAUUGCAUUUGUGACUGCACGGCUAGAGUGUGUCAGAGGGAGGUAGAAUUCCACGUGUAGCAGUGAAAUGCGUAGAUAUGUGGAGGAACACCGAUGGCGAAGGCAGCCCCCUGGGCUGAGAUUGACGCUCAGGCACGAAAGCGUGGGGAGCAAACAGGA
This 253-nucleotide ribosomal RNA is filed under the name uncultured prokaryote. Its description in RNAcentral is "partial 16S ribosomal RNA". It matches the Rfam family "Bacterial small subunit ribosomal RNA", at positions 525 to 777 of the family's 1533-position model. The record is from RNAcentral.